RNAcentral lists this ribosomal RNA (468 nucleotides) under uncultured bacterium. RNAcentral describes it as "partial 16S ribosomal RNA". It matches the Rfam family "Bacterial small subunit ribosomal RNA", at positions 28 to 507 of the family's 1533-position model. The record is from RNAcentral.
GACGAACGCUGGCGGCGUGCUUAACACAUGCAAGUCGAACGGAAAGGCCCUGCUUUUGUGGGGUGCUCGAGUGGCGAACGGGUGAGUAACACGUGAGUAACCUGCCCUUGACUUUGGGAUAACUUCAGGAAACUGGGGCUAAUACCGGAUAGGAGCUCCUGCUUCAUGGUGUGGGGUGGAAAGUUUCGGCGGUUGGGGAUGGACUCGCGGCUUAUCAGCUUGUUGGUGGGGUAGUGGCUUACGAAGGCUUGGACGGGUAGCCGGCCUGAGAGGGUGACCGGCCACAUUGGGACUGAGAUACGGCCAAGACUGAUACGGGAGGCAGCAGUGGGGAAUAUUGCGAGCUGGGCGGAAGCCUGAUGCAGCAACGCCGCGUGCGGGAUGACGGCCUUCGGGUUGUAAACCGCUUUCGCCUGUGACGAAGCGUGAGUGACGGUAAUGGGUAAAGAAGCACCGGCUAACUACGUG